UGCUUGUAUGUAUAUGUUUUCAGAGUUAACC
RNAcentral lists this non-coding RNA (31 nucleotides) under Mus musculus (house mouse). The record is from RNAcentral. Lineage: Eukaryota; Metazoa; Chordata; Mammalia; Rodentia; Muridae.